GACGAACGCUGGCGGCGUGCUUAACACAUGCAAGUCGAACGGUGAAGCGCCUUCCUUUUUGGUGGGUGUGGAUGAGUGGCGAACGGGUGAGUAACACGUGAGUAACCUGCCCCCUUCUUCUGGAUAACCGCAUGAAAGUGUGGCUAAUACGGGAUAUUCUGGGUCUGUCGCAUGAUGGGUCUGGGAAAGAUAUUGUUUCGGUGGGGGAUGGGCUCGCGGCUUAUCAGCUGGUUGGUGGGGUGAUGGCCUACCAAGGCGGUGACGGGUCGCCGGCCUGGGAGGGUGGACGGUCGCACUGGGGCUGCGGCCCGACCCGGACUCCUACGGGACGCAGAAGCGGACGGUAUGGAACAGUGGGCACAAGCCUAAUACGGCGGCGCCGCGUGUGCGAUGGCGGCCUUCGGGUUGUGAACCUCUUUCGCCAGUGAAGCAGGCCUGCCUCGUUUGUGGGUGGGUUGACGGUAGCUGGAUAAGAAGCGCCGGCUAACUACGUG
Molecule: ribosomal RNA, 494 nt
Filed under: uncultured bacterium
Lineage: Bacteria
Description: partial 16S ribosomal RNA
Rfam family: Bacterial small subunit ribosomal RNA
Source: RNAcentral